This 18-nucleotide unclassified non-coding RNA is filed under the name Chlamydomonas reinhardtii. Its description in RNAcentral is "small RNA Cre_1163". Lineage: Eukaryota; Viridiplantae; Chlorophyta; Chlorophyceae; Chlamydomonadales; Chlamydomonadaceae. The record is from RNAcentral.
CCUGCUCGUCCCACUGCU